Molecule: long non-coding RNA, 494 nt
Organism: Dicentrarchus labrax (European seabass)
Lineage: Eukaryota; Metazoa; Chordata; Actinopteri; Moronidae
Exons: 3
Source: RefSeq, a predicted model, not a curated record
GCUGUAACACCUGCUCUCCACAUGUCUUCUUCCGCAAGAGGAGAAAAUGAGUUCGGCUUUCGAACUUUGUGCUGCUGGAAGGCGAAGGUGAAGUGAAGGAACUGAAACAUCACCUGGUGUCAGAAUGCAAGAGACACAAGGGAACCUCUUCACAUCACUCCAUUACGCCACUCCCUCCCAUAUGCCUUCUCCACGCUCAAUAUAGCCCCUUAAACCGACAAUGAUGAGGUUGUUGGAGUGUAAAUCCUUUGCCCCUGGUGCAAUUACCCCCUGUGUGUUUGUAGUAAAUCUACAUGCAUAUGGCCCUGCCUUUGAAGACGCAGCUACUAAUCCCGUAACCCUGUCAGAGAAAGAGAGGGAGGGAAGAGGGAGAAGGACAGCAAGGCAAAGAGAAGGGGAGAGAGACCUACACAAGGGACAAGAGAGCGAACACUUGUGGCUGUGAUGGAAAACUCUGCAAUGAUUUCUGUUAAACCCUUUUAGAAAAAUUAAUU